GCGCCGGUAUAGCUCAGUGGUUACUUCGUUGAACUUUCUCACUCGAGGAUACUCAGCUUCAUCCCUUCGCGGGAUCGAACCACGGGCGCUGUCCAGCGUUUUU
Molecule: vault RNA, 103 nt
Filed under: Cynoglossus semilaevis (tongue sole)
Lineage: Eukaryota; Metazoa; Chordata; Actinopteri; Pleuronectiformes; Cynoglossidae
Description: Vault RNA (ENSCSEG00000005043.1)
Rfam family: Vault RNA
About the family: This family of RNAs are found as part of the enigmatic vault ribonucleoprotein complex. The complex consists of a major vault protein (MVP), two minor vault proteins (VPARP and TEP1), and several small untranslated RNA molecules. It has been suggested that the vault complex is involved in drug resistance.
Source: Rfam by way of RNAcentral